This is a long non-coding RNA of Equus quagga, 509 nucleotides long. RefSeq lists it as uncharacterized. The record is from RefSeq and is a predicted model, not a curated record. The transcript is spliced from 2 exons. NCBI's taxonomy places the organism in Eukaryota, Metazoa, Chordata, Mammalia, Perissodactyla, Equidae.
CAGAACUCUCUCACAAAGUCCUCCUCAGAGGCCAGCAGCACCGCGUUCCAGGCAGUGAUGUCCAGCUCUCCGGCCGUGCCCCCGUACUCUUUGGGGAGAAUGCUUCUUGGAAGGUCAUCUUACAGGACUAGAAAAACGCUGAUCCAAACUUAUUAUCCUGACACUUGAAUCUGCACAGUAUUUAGCAGGGGCACCAAAAGAAGAGUGGAAGCUGAGGAAAGCCAGAGUAUUGGCUCAAAGCCAGAAUUCAAAUUUCCAAUAAUGACCUAAUGUGACAUUGAUGUUUAAAUAAUCAGUCUGUGCACAGUAGGGGCCCAAACACACUGUGGAAUUCAAUGAGGAGAACUGUUGUUAUCUCUGGUGCCCCACACGUGACAAGAGACAGCACCCCUGUGGGUGGGUCAGAAUGAAUGAGGAGUCAACCUGUAUGAGCUGUGAGCUUGGGCCGGGCUACAUCCUCUGGGCCUCAGCUUCCCCAUCUAUCAAAAAGGAAAAAUAAUUCUUGCCUU